CCUACGGGAGGCAGCAGUGAGGAAUAUUGGUCAAUGGGCGGAAGCCUGAACCAGCCAUGCCGCGUGCAGGAGGAAGGCCCUAUGGGUCGUAAACCUCUUUUGCCGGGGGAUAAAGACAGCUACGUGUAACUGUUUGAAGGUACCCGGAGAAUAAGCAUCGGCUAACUCCGUGCCAGCAGCCGCGGUAAUA
RNAcentral lists this ribosomal RNA (190 nucleotides) under uncultured rumen bacterium. Its description in RNAcentral is "partial 16S ribosomal RNA". It matches the Rfam family "Bacterial small subunit ribosomal RNA", at positions 338 to 525 of the family's 1533-position model. The record is from RNAcentral.